Molecule: long non-coding RNA, 979 nt
Organism: Onychostoma macrolepis
Lineage: Eukaryota; Metazoa; Chordata; Actinopteri; Cypriniformes; Cyprinidae
Exons: 3
Source: RefSeq, a predicted model, not a curated record
GUCAACAGCCCCCAUUUUUUUGUUGUACUCUAGCACACACACUGGCUUCAUCUUUGGUUGCCCAGUGAUGUGAUCAAGCUUUCUUGUGGCUGCCAUUCCAGUUGGGUGGACUGUGGUGAACUUUGGCAUCGCUUUCCUGUUUGCACGCACAGUCCCACAGGCUCCAGUGCCAAGAGACAGGAGGUGUUGGAAAAGUGUGGGACUGCUGUACCAGUUGUCCACAUAAAGGACAUGACCCUUUCUGAGAUGGAAUGAACUGACGAAAUGCCAGCCUGCCUUUCCACUUCAUCAGGGACUCAUCCACGCAGAGAUCUCUGUAUGGCACAAAGAUGCGACGGAAGGAGGAGGUGAGAGCACUGAAUACAUUUCUGAUUUUUUUCAGAGGGUCAUUUAAAAUUUCUGUUGUGUUAUUUGUAAAGUGAAGGCAGCGGAGGAGCAUGAGAAAGCGGUUCUGCGAAAAUAAAGACCGGAAGAAUGGUGUCAAGAACAUGGGGUCUGUGCUCCAAUAAUCACGGAGUGACGGUUUUUUGACCAUCCCCAUUAGGAGAACUGAUGCCAGAAAUGUGUACAUAGGAGCCCAUUUAACCAUUUUUCCUUUCAUCUCUCCUCCUUGUAUUUCUGAGGCAUAGCGGUUUGUUUCCUCAACAAUUUCUCCAACAACAUCUUCUGUUAGGAACAUUUUGAAACAGUUGACCUCACUGGGGGAUUCUGGAGGAUUUUGCACUCCACACAGUUGGUCAUCGAAAUCCCCUGGGCCUGGAGGAUUAAAAUGGUUUGUUACCUUCCAGGAUGAUGAGUCUACCCCGUCUGCCUCAGCGAAAACAUGGGCGGGUGUUGUGGAAGUUUCUUCAUCUUCACUCCUGUCAAGAGCUUCAAGGUUUGAGGGAACCUCCUCAUCGCUGUCACUGUCUGCCUCACUGUCAAAAUCCUCAUCAGAAUUUAAAAAAAUCUCCUCAAUUUCUUCUUUUAAAAUGACUGU